RNAcentral lists this transfer RNA (70 nucleotides) under Capra hircus (goat). It matches the Rfam family "tRNA". From Rfam's summary of the family: Transfer RNA (tRNA) molecules are approximately 80 nucleotides in length. RNAcentral also lists the same sequence under 1 other name. Lineage: Eukaryota; Metazoa; Chordata; Mammalia; Artiodactyla; Bovidae. The record is from Rfam by way of RNAcentral.
UCCCAGGUGGCUCAGACGGUAGAGUCCGCCUGCAAUGCAGGAGACCCAGGUUCGAUCCCUGGAUUGGGAA